RNAcentral lists this ribosomal RNA (882 nucleotides) under Mendogia diffusa. RNAcentral describes it as "partial large subunit ribosomal RNA". It matches the Rfam family "Eukaryotic large subunit ribosomal RNA", at positions 36 to 949 of the family's 3401-position model. The record is from RNAcentral. Lineage: Eukaryota; Fungi; Ascomycota; Dothideomycetes; Myriangiales; Myriangiaceae.
AAGCUUUCCAAUAUCGGGGGAAAAGAACCCACCGGGAUUCCCCCAGUAGCGGCGAGUUAGCCGCAACAGUUCAAAUUUGAAAUUUGGCCUCCCCGGGGCCCGAUUUGUAUUGGAGAGAUUCUUCGGGUAGUCCCCGGUCCAAGCUCUUGGACCAGUCGUCGUGAGGGUAAAAUCCCGUACGCGCCGGGACGCCUUCCCUCUGGGAACUUCCUUGGUCGAUUCGGUUUCUAGGGAAUCCAGCCCCAAAUGGAAGUUAAAUCCUUUCUAAAGUUAAAUCCCGACCACGGCCGGAUACCGCUCAAGUAGAGUGUUGGAAAGAUGAAAACCACUUUGGAAGGGGAGUCAAAAACCACGUGAAAUUGUGGAAAGGGAAGCGUUCCCGAUCAGUUUCGCCGGCGGCCGUUGGCCAUCCCCCUGGGGGUGCCUACUCGGCCGCCGCCGGGCCAGCAUCGGUUCCGGCGGCCGGAGAAAGGGGGCGGGAACGUGGCCCCCCCGGGGGUGUUAUAGCCCGCCCCCCAAUACGGCCAGCCGGGACCGAGGUCCGCGCCCCGGUUAGGAUGCUGGCGAAAUGGUCGUGAGCGGCCCGUCUUGAAACACGGACCAAGGAGUCUAUCGUCCAUGCGAGUGUUUGGGUGUCAAACCCGUGCGCGCAAUGAAAGUGAACGGAGGUGGGAACCCGCGAGGGCGCACCAUCGACCGAUCCUGAUGUCUUCGGAUGGAUUUGAGUAGGAGCAUGGCCGUUGGGACCCGAAAGAUGGUGAACUAUGCCUGAGUAGAGCGAAGCCAGAGGAAACUCUGGUGGAGGCUCGCAGCGGUUCUGACGUGCAAAUCGAUCGUCAAACUUGGGUAUAGGGGCGAAAAGACUAAUCGACCUCUGAAGUC